Long non-coding RNA from Cavia porcellus (domestic guinea pig), 1589 nucleotides. RefSeq lists it as uncharacterized. NCBI's taxonomy places the organism in Eukaryota, Metazoa, Chordata, Mammalia, Rodentia, Caviidae. The transcript has 3 exons. The record is from RefSeq and is a predicted model, not a curated record.
GGAGGAUUUGGGAUAAGUUUCGUUUAGUGAUAGAUGCUCAAGCCAGCAGUUGACUACCUGGUUCCUGAUGUCCACCUUCAAUGAGGUAGUAGUCAUUUCCUGCUGGUUUGUCAGGCUUAUGAAACACAAUCCGUGGCUCAAUCCUUGUUGAGACACCAACGUGAAUGCAAUCAGGAAACAGGGUUUCCCUGUGUAACCUAUUUGCCUGUAUUCUGCUUUUCAUCUGCUUAUUACAGUUUGGCUUUUUGAUGCAAGGUUACGUAGUCCAGGCUGGACUGGAACGUCAGAUCCUCCCGUGUCCACCUCCUGAGCACUGAGAUUGCAAGGAUGCACCGCCAUGCCUGUGUCUCCACAAGCUUCUUGAAUGCCCUGGGAAUAGAAAGGCAGUCAUGACAGACUGCAAGGAUUGUCAGCACCACGGACAGUAGCUCACCCAGCUAACGCUGGCAGUUCACUAGGGUACAGACAGCCAAGGGCACGCAGAUGACCUGUAAUAUCUUGGAGAGUCUUCAUCAACAUAUUCUCUUUCGCUUUCUAGUCUUCUAGGUUUUGAAGGAAAUAGCUUUGAUUUCUUUCAGUGAAGAAAGAGGAGUCCCAUGUUUGAAUAAUCUACAGGACUGAGGGACUCAGGCUGAAGGAAGGAAACUGUGUAGACUUGCUAAAGAUACAAAGAGAAGUUCACCAUAUACCGAUGUGAAAGGUCUCCUGCAUAUGUUAUUAAGAAAAAGAGCCAGGUUCAGAACAAGUAAUGUAUUAGCGUGUUUAUAUAAAAAGAAGGCAGUGUCUCCAGGAGGGUGCUCCAGGCAGGCCCUUCAGCGGCGGAGCUAAAUCCCCAACCCCCACCUUGUGUGUCUUUAGGAUGAGAUGACCGGGUCAUCCGUAUGAAACCUGAGGACUGGGCUGUAGGUGGGCACUUGUUUUGCGUGCGUAAAGCUCUCCAUUUGAGUCUCAACAUGACAAUGAAUGAAUGAACUUCAAUACAAAUAAAGUAAAUUAUCUGUGAUUCGAUUCCCAUAUAAUUUACCCACUUGGUUAUCUUGGGAAUAAAACAGAAUUAUUUAUGUGAAGAUCCUUUGAAGGAUAUUGUUGGGGGCACAAUUAUAAUGUAAGAACACAUUUAUAAAAUAGCAAACCUAUAGUUAGUUCAUGAUCAGCUAGAAGAGUCUGACGAGUUUCUGCUGAAUGCGGCUGACUUUGACAGUGUCUGAAGCCCACCUGUAGACCUCUGCUGAGCACCGAGUUGGAGUAAUUGUCUACACCUAAAAGUACCCUGGUCUAAUCCGAGGACCCUCCCAGAAUGCUCCUAUAUUAUGGGAGUGCCUUUAACUAUGCUCACUCUGUAAAGCCCCCUCCCCUUGCUCAGAGUGCUUCUAUGUUAUGACAAACAAUUCCUUUGUUUCGACAAAUCUGUUCAAGAAUGCCUGCCUGUCAGUAUAUGGCUGAAUGCAUAUAACCAGUUGUGUAAGGUUGCUUUGUACCUUCUACUUCUAAAAUCUGUAUAAACUAAGCUCUGUAAAGUCAGCGCUGUUGCCUUUGUGGAAUUAUGCUGCAACAGUCUGCUAGUGUAAAGAUUAAACACUGUCAUCUCC